This 182-nucleotide non-coding RNA is filed under the name Ureibacillus massiliensis. Lineage: Bacteria; Bacillati; Bacillota; Bacilli; Caryophanales; Caryophanaceae. The record is from RNAcentral. RNAcentral also lists the same sequence under 1 other name.
UUGUAUUAGUUUUAUGAAGGUACUACUAUAUGUAGUUUAAAAGGGAAGUUUGGUGAGAUCCCAACGCUGUCCCCGCAACUGUAAAGCUGACGAAGAUUCAAAUCCACUGUGUGACUUUCACAUGGGAAGGGAAUCGGAGGUUGAAGCAAAGCCAGGAGACCUGCCUUAUAAAGCCGAUCAAU